CGGCCGCGGUACCCUAACCGUGCGAAGGUAGCAUAAUCACUUGUUCUUUAAAUGAGGACUCGUAUCAACGGCAUCACGAGGAUCCUACUGUCUCCCCCCUCUAAUCGGUGAAACUGAUCUCUCCGUGAAGAAGCGGAGAUGUACAUAUAAGACGAGAAGACCCCAUGGAGCUUUAAACCCAACAACACCCGCCCCCCCUCCAAAUCCUAUUAUUUACCCGGUGAUUGUUUGUUUGGUUUUAGGUUGGGGUGACCGCGGAGUAUAAGAUAUCCUCCAUGAAAAAAAGCUAACUGCCCUUAUUAGAGAAAGACACUUCCAAAAAAUAAUAAAUUAAUUUUAAAUGAUCCGACAUUCGAUCAACGAACCAAGUUACCCUGGGGAUAACAGCGCAAUCCGUCCCGAGAGCCCCUAUCGACAGGCGGGUUUACGACCUCGAUGUUGGAUCAGGGUAUCCUAGUGGUGCAGCAGCUACUAAAGGUUCGUUUGUUCAACGAUUAAAACCCUA
Molecule: ribosomal RNA, 505 nt
Filed under: Boophis madagascariensis (Madagascar bright-eyed frog)
Lineage: Eukaryota; Metazoa; Chordata; Amphibia; Anura; Mantellidae
Description: partial 16S ribosomal RNA
Rfam family: Bacterial large subunit ribosomal RNA
Source: RNAcentral